AUUGAACGCUGGCGGCAUGCCUUACACAUGCCAGUCGAACGGCAGCAUGAUCUAGCUUGCUAGAUUGAUGGCGAGUGGCGAACGGGUGAGUAAUACAUCGGAACGUGCCCUGUAGUGGGGGAUAACUAGUCGAAAGAUUAGCUAAUACCGCAUACGACCUGAGGGUGAAAGUGGGGGACCGCAAGGCCUCAUGCUAUAGGAGCGGCCGAUGUCUGAUUAGCUAGUUGGUGAGGUAAAGGCUCACCAAGGCGACGAUCAGUAGCUGGUCUGAGAGGACGAUCAGCCACACUGGGACUGAGACACGGCCCAGACUCCUACGGGAGGCAGCAGUGGGGAAUUUUGGACAAUGGGCGAAAGCCUGAUCCAGCAAUGCCGCGUGUGUGAAGAAGGCCUUCGGGUUGUAAAGCACUUUUGUCCGGAAAGAAAUGGCUCCGGUUAAUACCUGGGGUCGAUGACGGUACCGGAAGAAUAAGGACCGGCUAACUACGUG
RNAcentral lists this ribosomal RNA (490 nucleotides) under uncultured bacterium. Its description in RNAcentral is "partial 16S ribosomal RNA". It matches the Rfam family "Bacterial small subunit ribosomal RNA", at positions 30 to 507 of the family's 1533-position model. The record is from RNAcentral.